Molecule: ribosomal RNA, 301 nt
Filed under: uncultured bacterium
Lineage: Bacteria
Description: partial 16S ribosomal RNA
Rfam family: Bacterial small subunit ribosomal RNA
Source: RNAcentral
CAGCAGCCGCGGGAAUACGUAGGGUGCAAGCGUUAAUCGGAAUUACUGGGCGUAAAGCGUGCGCAGGCGGUUAUAUAAGACAGAUGUGAAAUCCCCGGGCUUAACCUGGGAACUGCAUUUGUGACUGUAUAGCUAGAGUACGGCAGAGGGGGAUGGAAUUCCGCGUGUAGCAGUGAAAUGCGUAGAUAUGCGGAGGAACACCGAUGGCGAAGGCAAUCCCCUGGGCCUGUACUGACGCUCAUGCACGAAAGCGUGGGGAGCAAACAGGAUUAGAUACCCCUGUAGUCCCUGUCUCUUAUAC